Molecule: transfer-messenger RNA, 399 nt
Filed under: Psychroflexus salis
Lineage: Bacteria; Pseudomonadati; Bacteroidota; Flavobacteriia; Flavobacteriales; Flavobacteriaceae
Rfam family: transfer-messenger RNA
About the family: Bacterial tmRNA, also known as 10Sa RNA or SsrA, is named for its dual tRNA and mRNA-like properties. Its role is to liberate the mRNA from a stalled ribosome. To accomplish this part of the tmRNA is used as a reading frame that ends in a translation stop signal.
Source: RNAcentral
GGGGUCGAUUUGGUUUUGACAGCAAGGACAAUUAAAGGGUAAGCACGUCGAGCGCUGGGAUACAGCUCGUAAAUCUCAUAUUUCACACUUUUUUAAACGGCGAGAAUAACUACGCCAUGGCUGCAUAAUCCGAAUUACAGUAGGAUUGCUUAGCCACUACAAGGUAGUGGGCCAUGAUGUCUCGUAAAGGCCUUGAUUUACGGCAUUUACACUAGAGGCACCGAUAAAGUAAAUAUAGUUUGUGUAGGGUCUUGAUGCACAAGUGAAAUUUAAUUGAGAAUAAGGUUUAUGUAGGUUGUUUUUGGCCAGUAUAAACUCGAAAAUUUAAGUAAAAACUAAACGUGUAGAAAACUGUUUGAUUGCUUGUUUGGACGGGAGUUCGAGUCUCCCCGACUCCAC